CGGCGUAAAGCGUAUUUAGGACACAAUAUAAAUAGGGCCGAAUAACCCCAAGAUAGUUAAAUAUGUUCGGGGCCAUUAAGCACACCAACGAAAGUAGCCCUAAUAGAUCUGACCCUACGAAAGCUAGAAUAUAAACUGGGAUUAGAUACCCCACUAUAUCUAGCUGUUAAAAUUGAUGGAACCUUACUCGAACCAUCCGCCUGGGAAUUACGAGCCCAAGCUUAAAACCCAAAGGACCUGGCGGUGCUUUAAAACCCCCUAGAGGAGCCUGUUCUAUAACUGAUAACCCCCGGUAAACCUCACCACCUCUUGCCAUAAUCCGUUUAUAUACCACCGUCGCAAGCUUACCCCAUUGAGGGCGCUAAAAGUAGGCUCAACCAGUAUAACUGAGUACGUCAGGUCGAGGUGUAGCAUAUGAGGUGGGAAGAAAUGGGCUACAUUCCCUAAUGAAGAGAUUACGAAUGGUGGUUUGAAAAAACUGCACUGAAGGUGGAUUUAGAAGUAAGCAAGGAACAGAGUGCCCUGCUGAAAAUGGCUCUAAAGCACGUACAAACCGCCCGUCACUCUCUCCACUUUCCCUCACUUAAUACCUAAUACGUGA
This 601-nucleotide ribosomal RNA is filed under the name Lucigadus nigromaculatus (blackspotted grenadier). RNAcentral describes it as "partial 12S ribosomal RNA". It matches the Rfam family "Bacterial small subunit ribosomal RNA", at positions 556 to 1437 of the family's 1533-position model. Lineage: Eukaryota; Metazoa; Chordata; Actinopteri; Gadiformes; Macrouridae. The record is from RNAcentral.